Pecten maximus is the source of this 91-nucleotide small nucleolar RNA. RefSeq annotates it as small nucleolar SNORD12/SNORD106. Lineage: Eukaryota; Metazoa; Mollusca; Bivalvia; Pectinida; Pectinidae. The transcript has a single exon. The record is from RefSeq and is a predicted model, not a curated record.
GUGCUUGUGAUGAUGAAAAAUCUUUCCCCAACUUAUCGAUAUAUGACGAUGUCAAAGCUGUGAAAUUGCCAGAAUUUUCUGAUGCAAGCAC